UGGUCCAGCAGGACACCAUGCGAGUCCCUGCAGCUUGCUGCUGGCCUCCACGCUUUCGGGUUUGCGUUCCAGCAGCUGGAACACAACACAGAACCUAUUACCUGCUCCGUCCUGCUGCCACUUCCGGGUGCCGUUAGCCGGGAGCAGUGUGUGCGGCUGCUGGGCUCGAGCUGUGUGUUAGUGGAAACGAUGUGACAGGCACACCUGUUUCCACUGCCAUUUGCUGUGUAUUGCCGGACAGAGCUGCCAGGGUGGUCAGAGGUGAAGCUGCUUAAUCACCAGCGUAAGACAGUGUGCUGGGAGAUGAGGAUCGUCUGAAGAUGGAAGACGAUCUGAUUGGAUAGUAUGGGGGCAGGUGGAAGGUGUACUGUGCCUUGCUGAACACUGUCUGCAAGUUAAGCAGGAAAGGUCCCAUCCAGGAAGGAGAAGCCCAAAGAGGAGAUGGACCAGGGCGGCAUCUUCACUUACUAAAAUUAGCAAUUCCGUAGCCUAGAAAAUGGCACUUGCUAAAGAAUAUGUGUACAACAUGAAUUAGGCCCAAUGUAUUAAACUUUUCAUAGCAACUUAAGACCAAUAGCUAUAAAUUUAUUUUAGACGGCACAUAAAUCUUAAGCAGGAAAAGUAUCAUUAGAAAAGACAUUAGCUGCACUGGACAGAAUAAAAUAAGUCUGACUGAUUUAUUAAUGUGGAAACUAAAACUAUCAGAACAGAAACCAUUUUAAGAUUUGUAAUUCUUAUCCUGUAUGGCUUAGUAG
Molecule: long non-coding RNA, 755 nt
Organism: Pseudophryne corroboree (corroboree frog)
Lineage: Eukaryota; Metazoa; Chordata; Amphibia; Anura; Myobatrachidae
Exons: 4
Source: RefSeq, a predicted model, not a curated record